ACCGUAAAAGUGAAGAAACUUUAUUUUUAANUUUGGAAAANNNUUUACANNNAGGAAAGAUAUGUUUUUUUUNGGAGGUAAAAUUCUGAAAAAANUUACUUUUCCAUUAANNUGAAGUUUCAGAAACUUUAGAANUAAAACUAGGAUUAGAUACCCUAUUAUUAUUAAGUGUAAAAAAAUNUAGGUAGUAGUAGAUGACUUGAAACUUAAAGAAUUUGGCGGUAUUUUAAUCUAAUCAGAGGAACUUGCGUUUUAACUCGAAAUUACACGUUUUAUCUUACUUAAAUUAAAGUUUGUAUAUCGUCGUAAAAAUAAAACUUUAAAGUAUAUAUUUAAUUUUAUUAAANUAAAAAAUUACAGAUCAAGGUUCAGCUNAUAUUUAAGGAAAACGUGAGUUACAGUAUUUNAGAAAGUAGAUGAAUAAAUUCUUNNGAAAGGNNGGUUUUGAAAGUGGAUUUGGAAGU
This 464-nucleotide ribosomal RNA is filed under the name Buthus occitanus (common European scorpion). Its description in RNAcentral is "partial 12S ribosomal RNA". Lineage: Eukaryota; Metazoa; Arthropoda; Arachnida; Scorpiones; Buthidae. The record is from RNAcentral.